Long non-coding RNA from Homo sapiens (human), 436 nucleotides. RefSeq lists it as uncharacterized. The transcript is spliced from 3 exons. The record is from RefSeq and is a predicted model, not a curated record. Lineage: Eukaryota; Metazoa; Chordata; Mammalia; Primates; Hominidae.
GGUUAGUGUAUUCUAUGUGUGGCCCAAGACAACUCUUCUUCCAGUGUGGCUCAGGGAACCCAAAAGACUGGACACUCCUGGUUUCCAAGUUGCUCAAGGAGCCCCCGUGUUAGAAAAUGCAGUGGUGUCACCUCCAGACUUCCACCCGCAGGGGAGCAAGGGGUGGGUGAGUUGAAGGCUGUCGUCAGCAUGUCCUGCCUGUGGCUUCUGAAGGUGACUGACCUGUUUCCUGGAGACAUCUUCACCAACUGUGGAGUUUUACAUUUUACAGCUUCCAUCACCUGUCAAAGACUGACUUCUCUCAUCUAAACUCUUAGGACAGCCUCAUUGGCCCAGGCUGCCCGGGUGUCCAUUCUUGGAGAGGUCAACCAGAUGGCAGGAGAAUGAAGACCCUGGUAGUUCUCACAAUUAUCAUGUGGCAGAGGGGGACUGACUA